RNAcentral lists this small RNA (989 nucleotides) under Pongo abelii (Sumatran orangutan). Its description in RNAcentral is "processed transcript". The record is from RNAcentral. Lineage: Eukaryota; Metazoa; Chordata; Mammalia; Primates; Hominidae.
AAGAUGCUCCCAGCCCUUCCUUUCUGCCUGCCCCAGGGACUUGGAGACACAAGGCCCAGGAGGAGGAGGAGGAGGAAAAUAAGUAUGAGCUGCCCCCCUGUGAGGCUCUACCCCUCAGUCUAGCCCCUGCUCACCUUCCUGGCACUGAGGAGGACUCCUUGUACCUGGAUCACUCUGGCCCCCUGGGUCCAUCAAAGCCAUCGCCACCCCUGCCUCAGCCCACCAUGCUGAAGGGAGCAGUGAGCCUGCCGGUGGCCGGGAAGCAGGGACCUAUCUUCGGGAGGCGAGAGCAGGGUGCAUCAUCCAGAGUGGAGCCAGGCCCUCCAAAGAAACCUGAUGAGGAUCUUUACUUGGAAUGUGAGCCCAAUCCAGUCCUGGCUUUGACUCAGACUCUCAGCUUCCAAGUCCUGAUGCCCUCAGGCCCUCUGCCCAGGACAUCAAUGGUGCCCGGGCCUACCACAGCCCCCCAGGAAACUCAGAAUCAGGAAGGAAAUCAUCUCUUCCCUCUGUAGCCCCCACUGGGAGCGCCUCAGCUGCUGAGGAUGGUGAUCUGCUGGCUCAGCCUUGGUACUCGGGGAACUGUGACCGCCAUGCUGUUGAGAGUGCCCUGCUCCACUUACAAAAGGAUGGGGCCUAUACCGUGCGCCCCAGCUCAGGGCCUCAUGGCUCCCAGCCCUUCACCCUGGCAGUGCUUCUCCGAGGCCGGGUCUUCAACAUUCCCAUCCGGCGGCUGGAUGGCGGAUGCCACUAUGCCCUGGGCCGGGAGGGCAGGAACCCUCUUCUGCUCCGUGGCCGCCAUGGUCCAGCACUUCACACAGCACCCUCUGCCCCUUGUGGACAGACACAGUGGCAGCCGUGAACUCACCUGCCUGCUCUUCCCUGCCAAGCCUUGAGGCCACAGCGAAGAAUGCAGGUGUCCCCCAGUUUACUAGGUCCUGGAUGAAGGAACCGUGGUGGCCUAGACCAGUCAGGGGACAGCACAGGCACUG